UACGGAGGAUGCGAGCGUUGUCCGGAAUUACUAGGCGUAAAGGGCAGGCAGGCGGAUCCAUAAGUUUAUCGUUUAAGGCGUCGGCUUAACCGGCGUAGGGCGGUAGAUACUGUGGAUCUGGAAUGCGGUUGGGGAAGACAGAAUUCCUGGUGUAGCGGUGGAAUGCGCAGAGAUCAGGAGGAAUACCGAAGGCGAAGGCAGUCUUCCAAGCCGUUAUUGACGCUCAACUGCGAAGGUGUGGGUAUCAAACAGGAUUAGAUACCCUGGUAGUCCCU
Molecule: ribosomal RNA, 275 nt
Filed under: uncultured prokaryote
Description: partial 16S ribosomal RNA
Rfam family: Bacterial small subunit ribosomal RNA
Source: RNAcentral